UCAGGCCUAACACAUGCAAGUCGAGCGGAUGAAGGGAGCUUGCUCCCUGAUUUAGCGGCGGACGGGUGAGUAAUGCCUAGGAAUCUGCCUGGUAGUGGGGGAUAACGUUCCGAAAGGAACGCUAAUACCGCGUACGUCCUACGGGAGAAAGCAGGGGACCUUCUUUGUCUUGCGCUAUCAGAUGAGCCUAGGUCGGAUUAGCUAGUUGGUGAGGUAAUGGCUCACCAAGGCGACGAUCAGUAACUGGUCUGAGAGGAUGAUCAGUCACACUGGAACUGAGACACGGUCCAGACUCCUACGGGAGGCAGCAGUGAGGAAUAUUGGUCAAUGGGAG
RNAcentral lists this ribosomal RNA (334 nucleotides) under uncultured bacterium. Its description in RNAcentral is "bacterial SSU rRNA". It matches the Rfam family "Bacterial small subunit ribosomal RNA", at positions 43 to 377 of the family's 1533-position model. The record is from RNAcentral.